CGACAAUCGUUUCGAAGUGAAGACGUCAUAAAUAUUUAUAUUUAUAAUAAUAUACAAACUUCUGCAUGUGUUGCUUGUUCGGUGAGAUUAACAAACUGCGUAUGCUUGCCGUGUUUUCACUGGAUUGCAUGUGUUCAAUGCGUUAAAACCAUCUUACAGCUUACAGAGCAAGAAAAUGCUGACUUCAGAUGCUCAAUAUGCUUUCAAGUUGUUGAGUCGUUUUUAAAACUGAAUAUUACCUGAUCACUAAAAUUCAGAUGAAAAGGAUUUAAUAGUGAAGUUUCAAUUAUAUUCAACAUACAGAAUGAGCUCAUCGUUACUCGGGAAAUCAAAUGUUGACGGUAUUCAUAUAUUUUGUGAUAUUAAACAUUCAUUAUAUAUUGUCGUGACUUUUUUCGAAGAUUUUUUUUUCUAAAAUAA
This is a long non-coding RNA of Cotesia glomerata, 420 nucleotides long. RefSeq lists it as uncharacterized. Lineage: Eukaryota; Metazoa; Arthropoda; Insecta; Hymenoptera; Braconidae. The record is from RefSeq and is a predicted model, not a curated record. The transcript is spliced from 3 exons.